This 326-nucleotide ribosomal RNA is filed under the name uncultured bacterium. RNAcentral's name for it is "bacterial SSU rRNA". It matches the Rfam family "Bacterial small subunit ribosomal RNA", at positions 1 to 309 of the family's 1533-position model. The record is from RNAcentral.
UANAGUUUGAUCAUGGCUCAGAUUGAACGCUGGCGGCAUGCCUUACACAUGCAAGUCGAACGGUAACAGGUCUUCGGACGUCUGAUCGAGGUGGCGAACGGGUGAGUAAUACAUCGGGAUACGUGUCCCAGUCGAUGGGGGAGUAACUACUCGAAAGAGUAGGCUAAUACCGCGAUACGAUCUGAGGAUGAACAUGCGGGGGACCUUCGGGCCUCGCGCGAUUGGAGCGGCCUGAUGGCAGGAGUUAGGGUAGCUCUCGGCUGGGCAUAACAACGCUUAGCCAAGCCGACGUAUCUGUAGCCUNGGGUCGUGAAGCAGGCACGACC